AGCAGCCGCGGUAAUUCCAGCUCCAAUAGCGUAUAUUAAAGUUGUUGCAGUUAAAAGCUCGUAGUUGAAUUUCGGGAUCAGUUGGUCGGUCGUGCCUCGGUACGUACUGGUCAAAUUGAUUCCUACCUUCUGACGAACCACGAUGUCAUUAAUUUGGUGUCGUGGGGAAUCAGGACUGUUACUUUGAAAAAUUAGAGUGUUUAAAGCAGGCUCGCGCUUGAAUACAUUAGCAUGGAAUAAUGAAAUAGGACGUUUGAUUCUAUUUUGUUGGUUUCUAGGAUCGACGUAAUGAUUAAUAGGGAUAGUUGGGGGCAUUAGUAUUCAAUUGUCAGAGGUGAAAUUCUUGGAUUUAUUGAAGACUAACUACCGCGAAAGCAUUUGCCAAGGAUGUUUUCAUUAAUCAAGAACGAAAGUUAGGGAUCGAAGACGAUCAGAUACCGUCGUAGUCUUAACCAUAAACUAUGCCGACUAGGGAUCGGAUGAUGUUAAUUUUUAAUGUACUCAUUCGGCGCCUUACGGG
Molecule: unclassified non-coding RNA, 520 nt
Filed under: uncultured Glomus
Lineage: Eukaryota; Fungi; Glomeromycota; Glomeromycetes; Glomerales; Glomeraceae
Description: SSU rRNA
Rfam family: Eukaryotic small subunit ribosomal RNA
Source: RNAcentral